Molecule: unclassified non-coding RNA, 342 nt
Filed under: soil metagenome
Description: partial contains 5.8S ribosomal RNA, internal transcribed spacer 2, and large subunit ribosomal RNA
Rfam family: 5.8S ribosomal RNA (bases 1-119)
Source: RNAcentral
AUGAAGAACGUAGUGAAAUGCGAUAAGUAAUGUGAAUUGCAGAAUUCAGUGAAUCAUCGAAUCUUUGAACGCACAUUGCGCCCGCUAGUAUUCUGGCGGGCAUGCCUGUCCGAGCGUCAUUUCAACCCUCAAGCCCCCGGGCUUGGUGUUGGGGAUCGGCGAGCCUCCGCGCCCGCCGUCCCCUAAAUCUAGUGGCGGUCUCGCUGUAGCUUCCUCUGCGUAGUAGCACACCUCGCACUGGGAAACAGCGCGGCCACGCCGUUAAACCCCCAACUUCUGAACGUUUGACCUCGGAUCAGGUAGGAAUACCCGCUGAACUUAAGCAUAUCAAUAAGCGGAGGA